UGGGGGAUAUUGCACAAUGGGCGAAAGCCUGAUGCAGCGACGCCGCGUGGGGGAUGAAGGCUUUCGGGUUGUAAACCUCUUUCGCUAUCGAACAAGGCCCGCUUAGGGUGGGUUGAGGGUAGGUGGAGAAGAAGCGCCGGCUAACUACGUGCCAGCAGCCGCGGUAAUACGUAGGGCGCGAGCGUUGUCCGGAAUUAUUGGGCGUAAAGGGCUUGUAGGCGGCUUGUUGCGCCUGCUGUGAAAACGCGGGGCUUAACUUCGGGCGUGCAGUGGGUACGGGCAGGCUUGAGUGUGGUAGAGGUGACUGGAAUUCCAGGUGUAGCGGUGGAAUGCGCAGAUAUCUGGAGGAACACCGAUGGCGAAGGCAGGUCACUGGGCCAUUACUGACGCUGAGGAGCGAAAGCAUGGGUAGCGAACAGG
This 420-nucleotide ribosomal RNA is filed under the name bacterium. RNAcentral's name for it is "partial 16S ribosomal RNA". It matches the Rfam family "Bacterial small subunit ribosomal RNA", at positions 355 to 776 of the family's 1533-position model. The record is from RNAcentral.